RNAcentral lists this ribosomal RNA (484 nucleotides) under uncultured bacterium. RNAcentral's name for it is "partial 16S ribosomal RNA". It matches the Rfam family "Bacterial small subunit ribosomal RNA", at positions 30 to 507 of the family's 1533-position model. The record is from RNAcentral.
AUUGAACGCUGGCGGCAGGCCUAACACAUGCAAGUCGAGCGGAUGAAGGGAGCUUGCUCCUGGAUUCAGCGGCGGACGGGUGAGUAAUGCCUAGGAAUCUGCCUGGUAGUGGGGGAUAACGUCCGGAAACGGGCGCUAAUACCGCAUACGUCCUGAGGGAGAAAGUGGGGGAUCUUCGGACCUCACGCUAUCAGAUGAGCCUAGGUCGGAUUAGCUAGUUGGUGGGGUAAAGGCCUACCAAGGCGACGAUCCGUAACUGGUCUGAGAGGAUGAUCAGUCGCACUGGAACUGAGACACGGUCCAGACUCCUACGGGAGGCAGCAGUGGGGAAUAUUGGACAAUGGGCGAAAGCCUGAUCCAGCCAUGCCGCGUGUGUGAAGAGGGUCUUCGGAUUGUAAAGCACUUUAAGUUGGGAGGAAGGGCAGUAAGUUAAUACCUUGCUGUUUUGACGUUACCAACAGAAUAAGCACCGGCUAACUUCGUG